This 424-nucleotide ribosomal RNA is filed under the name uncultured prokaryote. RNAcentral's name for it is "bacterial SSU rRNA". It matches the Rfam family "Bacterial small subunit ribosomal RNA", at positions 355 to 796 of the family's 1533-position model. The record is from RNAcentral.
UGGGGAAUAUUGGACAAUGGGGGAAACCCUGAUCCAGCAAUGCCGCGUGAGUGAUGAAGGCCUUAGGGUUGUAAAGCUCUUUUACUAGGGAUGAUAAUGACAGUACCUAGAGAAUAAGCUCCGGCUAACUCCGUGCCAGCAGCCGCGGUAAUACGGAGGGAGCUAGCGUUGUUCGGAAUUACUGGGCGUAAAGCGCGCGUAGGCGGUUACUCAAGUCAGAGGUGAAAGCCCGGAGCUCAACUCCGGAACUGCCUUUGAAACUAGGUAACUAGAAUCUUGGAGAGGCGAGUGGAAUUCCGAGUGUAGAGGUGAAAUUCGUAGAUAUUCGGAAGAACACCAGUGGCGAAGGCGACUCGCUGGACAAGUAUUGACGCUGAGGUGCGAAAGCGUGGGGAGCAAACAGGAUUAGAUACCCCCGUAGUCC